GAUGAACGCUGGCGGCGUGCCUAAUACAUGCAAGUCGAGCGAACGGACGAGAAGCUUGCUUCUCUGAUGUUAGCGGCGGACGGGUGAGUAACACGUGGAUAACCUACCUAUAAGACUGGGAUAACUUCGGGAAACCGGAGCUAAUACCGGAUAAUAUUUUGAACCGCAUGGUUCAAAAGUGAAAGACGGUCUUGCUGUCACUUAUAGAUGGAUCCGCGCUGCAUUAGCUAGUUGGUAAGGUAACGGCUUACCAAGGCAACGAUGCAUAGCCGACCUGAGAGGGUGAGAGGAGCGACUGGGAGUGAGCCACGGGAGAGGAGGGUACGGGAGGGAGCAGGAGGGAAGUGUGCGAAGAGGGCGUAAGAAGGAAGGAGCAACGGAGUGGGAGAGAGGAAGGUCUGAAGAUAGUAGAACUAUGUGAGGAGGGAAGAACAAAGGUGGAAGUAAAUAGGAAAGGCGCGGCGGGAGCUAAUCAGAAAGAGAAGGACCUAGAAGGG
Molecule: ribosomal RNA, 497 nt
Filed under: uncultured bacterium
Lineage: Bacteria
Description: partial 16S ribosomal RNA
Rfam family: Bacterial small subunit ribosomal RNA (bases 16-379)
Source: RNAcentral